Molecule: ribosomal RNA, 711 nt
Filed under: uncultured beta proteobacterium
Lineage: Bacteria; Pseudomonadati; Pseudomonadota; Betaproteobacteria
Description: bacterial SSU rRNA
Rfam family: Bacterial small subunit ribosomal RNA
Source: RNAcentral
AUAGAGAGCUUGCUCUCUGAUGGCGAGUGGCGAACGGGUGAGUAAUACAUCGGAACGUGUCCGUUUGUGGGGGACAACCACCCGAAAGGGUGGCUAAUACCGCAUAAGACCUGAGGGUGAAAGCCGGGGACCGCAAGGCCUGGCGCGAACGGAGCGGCCGAUGACUGAUUAGCUGGUUGGCGGGGUAAAGGCCCACCAAGGCGACGAUCAGUAGCUGGUCUGAGAGGACGACCAGCCACACUGGAACUGAGACACGGUCCAGACUCCUACGGGAGGCAGCAGUGGGGAAUUUUGGACAAUGGGGGCAACCCUGAUCCAGCCAUGCCGCGUGCGGGAAGAAGGCCUUCGGGUUGUAAACCGCUUUUGUCAGGGACGAAAAGGUGCGGGUUAAGAGCUAGCACUGAUGACGGUACCUGAAGAAUAAGCACCGGCUAACUACGUGCCAGCAGCCGCGGUAAUACGUAGGGUGCGAGCGUUAAUCGGAAUUACUGGGCGUAAAGCGUGCGCAGGCGGUUGGGUAAGACAGAUGUGAAAUCCCCGGGCUUAACCUGGGAACUGCAUUUGUGACUGUCCGACUGGAGUAUGUCAGAGGGGGGUGGAAUUCCAAGUGUAGCAGUGAAAUGCGUAGAUAUUUGGAAGAACACCGAUGGCGAAGGCAGCCCCCUGGGGCAAAACUGACGCUCAUGCACGAAAGCGUGGGGAGCAAACAGG